RNAcentral lists this ribosomal RNA (464 nucleotides) under uncultured bacterium. RNAcentral describes it as "partial 16S ribosomal RNA". It matches the Rfam family "Bacterial small subunit ribosomal RNA", at positions 28 to 507 of the family's 1533-position model. The record is from RNAcentral.
GACGAACGCUGGCGGCGUGCUUAACACAUGCAAGUCGAACGGAAAGGCCCCUUUGGGGGUACUCGAGUGGCGAACGGGUGAGUAACACGUGAGUAACCUGCCCUUGACUUCGGGAUAACUUCAGGCAACUGGGGCUAAUACCGGAUAGGAAUCCUUGCUGCAUGGUGGGGGUUGGAAAGCUUCGGCGGUUUUGGAUGGACUCGCGGCUUAUCAGCUUGUUGGUGGGGUAGUGGCUUACCAAGGCUUUGACGGGUAGCCGGCCUGAGAGGGCGACCGGCCACAUUGGGACUGAGAUACGGCCCAGACUCCUACGGGAGGCAGCAGUGGGGAAUAUUGCACAAUGGGCGGAAGCCUGAUGCAGCAACGCCGCGUGCGGGAUGACGGCCUUCGGGUUGUAAACCGCUUUCAGCAGGGGCGAAGCGUUUGUGACGGUACCUGCAGAAGAAGCACCGGCUAACUACGUG